RNAcentral lists this ribosomal RNA (402 nucleotides) under bacterium enrichment culture. RNAcentral's name for it is "bacterial SSU rRNA". It matches the Rfam family "Bacterial small subunit ribosomal RNA", at positions 355 to 774 of the family's 1533-position model. The record is from RNAcentral.
UGGGGAAUCUUGCGCAAUGGGCGAAAGCCUGACGCAGCGACGCCGCGUGAGCGACGAAGGCCUUCGGGUCGUAAAGCUCUGUCAGAGGGGACGAUAAUGACGGUACCCUCAGAGGAAGCCCCGGCUAACUACGUGCCAGCAGCCGCGGUAAGACGUAGGGGGCAAGCGUUGUCCGGAAUUACUGGGCGUAAAGGGCGUGUAGGCGGCCUUGCAAGUCAGUGGUGAAACACCUGGGCUCAACCGAGGUAUUGCCAUUGAAACUGCUUGGCUUGAGGGUAGAAGAGGAGUGUGGAAUUCCCGGUGUAGCGGUGAAAUGCGUAGAGAUCGGGAGGAACACCAGUGGCGAAGGCGGCACUCUGGUCUAUCCCUGACGCUGAGGCGCGAAAGCUAGGGGAGCAAACA